UUCUUGAUGACGAAAGAAAUCAUUCGGAUUCCCAUUGAUUUCCUUCGGGAAAGAUGUGAUUAUUAACCAGCUACUUCUGAAAAAA
Small nucleolar RNA from Arabis alpina (gray rockcress), 85 nucleotides. It matches the Rfam family "Small nucleolar RNA R12". From Rfam's summary of the family: snoR12 is a C/D box small nucleolar RNA, which acts as a methylation guide for 25S ribosomal RNA in plants. snoR12 has been alternatively named snoZ44 in Arabidopsis and snoZ131 in rice. The record is from Rfam. Lineage: Eukaryota; Viridiplantae; Streptophyta; Magnoliopsida; Brassicales; Brassicaceae.